This is a long non-coding RNA of Myxocyprinus asiaticus (Chinese sucker), 571 nucleotides long. RefSeq lists it as uncharacterized. The record is from RefSeq and is a predicted model, not a curated record. The transcript has 3 exons. Lineage: Eukaryota; Metazoa; Chordata; Actinopteri; Cypriniformes; Catostomidae.
UCUCACUCCUGUUUAUCAAUACUGUACCAUCACUGGUACCAUUAAUUACCAUGCAUGACACAGUGUUAUGUGUUGUCAACAUGGCAGCGUCCUUGAGGUGGCGACCCACUCCAUGUAAAAUUAAACAGCUGUUAUAAGAUGUCUGAUAUGACUGGGGUCUCCAUCGCAUCUCUUACGGUGUGCUUUGGAGUCAAAAUAUGUGGAAGGAAUAAAAGGAGGACAAUCACAAACAUCAGUGAAAGAGAGCCAAUUUGCCACAGACACACUAAGCUCUUCUUUAACAACCUGUCUAGACAGCAUCUGUCCUCUCUCCUCAAGGCCAGCACGUACUACACCACCCAGCCCCUGGCUCUCUGACGUCCUUCAUGAACAUCGGACUGACCUCAGGGUAGCUGUGAGGAGAUGGCGGAAAUCUAAAGAUCCAGCAGAUCUAGAACAAGCUGCUGGAUGACAAUCAGGCAGGCUUUAAAAGUGGACACUCCACCGAGACUGCCCUGCUGUCUGUCACUGAGUCGCUGAGACAAGCGAAAGCUGAAUCCAGAUCAUCUGUCCUGAUUCUGUUGGACCUUUC